RNAcentral lists this non-coding RNA (950 nucleotides) under Anchoviella sp. LBP 2297. Its description in RNAcentral is "12S rRNA". It matches the Rfam family "Bacterial small subunit ribosomal RNA". Lineage: Eukaryota; Metazoa; Chordata; Actinopteri; Clupeiformes; Engraulidae. The record is from RNAcentral.
CAAAGGUUUGGUCCUAGCCUUACUAUCAGCUUUAGCUCAAAUUACACAUGCAAGUCUCCGCAGUCCCGUGAGGAUGCCCCAAACUUCCCACCCGGAAAUAGGGAGUUGGCAUCAGGCACAACUACUAAGCCCAAGACGCCUUGCUCAGCCACACCCCCAAGGGAAUUCAGCAGUGAUAAACAUUAAGCCAUAAGCGAAAGCUUGACUUAGUCGGAGCUAAGAGGGCCGGUUAAACUCGUGCCAGCCACCGCGGUUAUACGAGAGACCCUAGUUGAUUAAAGCGGCGUAAAGAGUGGUUAUGGAACUAUUCUUUUAAAGCAGAAAACCUCUCAAACUGUUAUACGCACCCAGAGGUCUGAAUCCCUCACACGAAAGUGACUUUAUUUAUGCCCACCAGAACCCACGAAAGCCGGGACACAAACUGGGAUUAGAUACCCCACUAUGCCCAGCCGUAAACUAAAAUGCUAAUAUACAACUAGCAUCCGCCAGGGAACUACGAGCACCAGCUUAAAACCCAAAGGACUUGGCGGUGCCUCAGACCCCCCUAGAGGAGCCUGUCCUAGAACCGAUAAUCCCCGUUCAACCUCACCACUCCUUGCCCUUUCCGCCUAUAUACCACCGUCGUCAGCUUACCCUGUGAAGGAAAAGUAAGCAAAAUGGAAACUUUCCAAAACGUCAGGUCGAGGUGUAGCACACGAAGUGGGAAGAGAUGGGCUACAUUGCCUGAUUAAGGCUACCAACGAAGAGUCGUCUGAAAAGACUAUUUGAAGGUGGAUUUAGCAGUAAAAGGGGAAUAGAGUGCCCCUUUGAAGCCGGCUCUGAGGCGCGCACACACCGCCCGUCACUCUCCCCAAUAACCCUAACCCACCAGUAACUUUAACCCAAAGCACAAAAAAAGGGGAGGCAAGUCGUAACAUGGUAAGUGUACCGGAAGGUGCACUUGGAAUAAC